ACGGUAGCACAGAGAGCUUGCUCUCGGGUGACGAGUGGCGGACGGGUGAGUAAUGUCUGGGAAACUGCCUGAUGGAGGGGGAUAACUACUGGAAACGGUAGCUAAUACCGCAUAACGUCGCAAGACCAAAGAGGGGGACCUUCGGGCCUCUUGCCAUCAGAUGUGCCCAGAUGGGAUUAGCUAGUAGGUGGGGUAACGGCUCACCUAGGCGACGAUCCCUAGCUGGUCUGAGAGGAUGACCAGCCACACUGGAACUGAGACACGGUCCAGACUCCUACGGGAGGCAGCAGUGGGGAAUAUUGCACAAUGGGCGCAAGCCUGAUGCAGCCAUGCCGCGUGUAUGAAGAAGGCCUUCGGGUUGUAAAGUACUUUCAGCGGGGAGGAAGGUGUUGUGGUUAAUAACCGCAGCAAUUGACGUUACCCGCAGAAGAAGCACCGGCUAACUCCGUGCCAGCAGCCGCGGUAAUACGGAGGGUGCAAGCGUUAAUCGGAAUUACUGGGCGUAAAGCGCACGCAGGCGGUCUGUCAAGUCGGAUGUGAAAUCCCCGGGCUCGACCUGGGAACUGCAUUCGAAACUGGCAGGCUAGAGUCUUGUAAGAGGGGGGUAAAUUUCCAGGUGUAGCGGUUA
RNAcentral lists this ribosomal RNA (628 nucleotides) under Enterobacter cloacae. RNAcentral describes it as "bacterial SSU rRNA". It matches the Rfam family "Bacterial small subunit ribosomal RNA", at positions 66 to 684 of the family's 1533-position model. The record is from RNAcentral. Lineage: Bacteria; Pseudomonadati; Pseudomonadota; Gammaproteobacteria; Enterobacterales; Enterobacteriaceae.